Long non-coding RNA from Motacilla alba alba, 743 nucleotides. RefSeq lists it as uncharacterized. The record is from RefSeq and is a predicted model, not a curated record. Lineage: Eukaryota; Metazoa; Chordata; Aves; Passeriformes; Motacillidae. The transcript is spliced from 3 exons.
GCCCUGCGUCUUUUAAACACGCGUCCAAAUAUGCACCCAAGCAUGGAAGGACUCAGCACUCUGAAAAUGUGAAGCCUACGGAUGCAAAAAGCUCCAAAGCAACAAGUAACGGCAGAGUUAUUUGGAAAAGGAGCAAGUAAAGGGUUCCUAAAACUGCAAGACAUCUGGAGGAGUGCCCAGACAGGAACUGGACUGAGGUGGGAAGAAAUGGAAAUAAAACUGUAAAAAUGGAUAGAAGAAAUGGAGGAGCAAUAUUUGGGCAAAGAAGAAGAAGCACGAAAUAACAUUUGAAGCUUUUUUUUUUCCCGGCAGAAAGCAGUAAAAACCCUGUCCUCCCCAAAACGUGGUCCUGGCUGGUGAGAUCUUGUUUCACAAAUGACGGGAAGAGGGCAGGUUACAGUCAAGGUACAGCUUGGUUUAGGAUGGUGACGUGAGAUUUGUGCACUUGGAUACUCUCCAGGGACAUCAUUGUUACCUUGGUUACAUACUUCCCAUUUUCACAUUUAAUGAAUUAAAAUAUAAUCCAAUAAUAGCAAAGUUUAAAAAAAGAGCACUUCAAAACCAGGCUUUAACAAAAUGGUUUUUUUUAACUUGAUCCUACUAAAAAUACAGGUAGAGGAUCCACCUCCUGCUCCCAGCAUAAAGAUUUCUUCCAGUAUUUUUCAAUAUAGAGUGUAAUAAUAAAAAUAAAGAUUUUGUAGGCUUCAUUCAGCCUUCAACAGCUGAAUGUUCAAUUUCAUAGA